This is a long non-coding RNA of Ostrea edulis (European flat oyster), 565 nucleotides long. RefSeq lists it as uncharacterized. The record is from RefSeq and is a predicted model, not a curated record. Lineage: Eukaryota; Metazoa; Mollusca; Bivalvia; Ostreida; Ostreidae. The transcript has 4 exons.
CACGUGAUGUGCGGAACGGUCAAAGUUGGUGUUUCGCUAGGUCUGUGAUCGCCUGUCAAGGAAAUUAUUUGGGGGAGGUCAUGUGUGAAUCAAAAUCAGUAUUUCCUACCGUUUUCACAUCUCAGUGGAGGUGCUCCAGCAUGACGUACGAAGUUCAUGCAGUACUGAUUCGGUGGAAAGAAUGGAUCCGGUUGUACGACAUAUCAGCCUGUCAGUGUGUGUUUGUGUAUACUGCGAGUUCCAUGACUCAUUCCCAUUGAAUGCCAAGAGAAGUAUAUGACUGAAGAAUUUAAUGUACUUUAAAACCUCUUACUUGGGGAAACAACAGUCGCCAAUCGAUUGAGGGUUCUGCAUGGUUCCAGCUGAAAUAUAUCCACACCGAGGGCGUCAACAUUUUGACAAUUCAAAUGCAAACUAUCCGUUCUAAAUACCUUGCUCACUAUCACUCAGGUGCUCUAGCAAUAUUUUAAGUAACUUAAAAAAUAUUAUUAGAUAGAUUUUAUUAAAAUCAUUUUUGUCAUAAGUACUCUACAUUCAAAGUUUUGCAAAUAAAAGAAAAUUAGUA